GGGGUUGUGGCUCAGCGGUAGAGCGCUUGCCUCCCAGGUGUGAGGCCCUGGGUUCGACUCUCAGCACCA
RNAcentral lists this transfer RNA (69 nucleotides) under Ictidomys tridecemlineatus (thirteen-lined ground squirrel). RNAcentral describes it as "Spermophilus tridecemlineatus (thirteen-lined ground squirrel) tRNA". It matches the Rfam family "tRNA". Rfam says of the family: Transfer RNA (tRNA) molecules are approximately 80 nucleotides in length. Their secondary structure includes four short double-helical elements and three loops (D, anti-codon, and T loops). Lineage: Eukaryota; Metazoa; Chordata; Mammalia; Rodentia; Sciuridae. The record is from Rfam by way of RNAcentral.